This 366-nucleotide ribosomal RNA is filed under the name uncultured bacterium. RNAcentral describes it as "partial 16S ribosomal RNA". It matches the Rfam family "Bacterial small subunit ribosomal RNA", at positions 338 to 696 of the family's 1533-position model. The record is from RNAcentral.
CCUACGGGCGGCAGCAGUAGGGAAUUUUCGUCAAUGGGCGCAAGCCUGAACGAGCGAUGCCGCGUGAGUGAAGAAGGCCUUCGGGUCUUAAAGCUCUUUUUCUGGGGGAAAAAGGCAGCAUCAGUAAAUGGGUGCUGACUUAUCGUGCCCCGCCAGAAAGUCACGGCCAACUACGUGCCAGCAGCCGCGAUAAUACGUAGGUGGCGAGCUUUAUCCGGAGUGAUUGGGCGGAAAGGUUGCGCAGGCGGUCCUACAAGUCUGGAGUGAAACGCAUGAGCUCAACUCAUGCAUGGCCUUGGAAACUGGAGGACUGGAGAGUAGGAGAGGGAGGUGGAACUCAAGGUGUAGCGGUAAAAUGCGUAGAUA